UGAGCAGGUGCUGCUGGAGUUUGAUCCUGAACCGGGCAACUGGUGGGUCAACAGGUGCUGCCCCCAUGGCUCUGCCUCGACCACGACCGCGUCCACGACCUCUGGUGGCCUCGGUAGUUAGUACAGGUGGUCGUCUGCCACACCUAGUUGCACGGGUUCUUCCCAUCUGCGAGAGAAUAGAAUAACAAAAUUUAGUUUUCGGAUCAACAAAGUCGCACGAUAAGAAUUCCGAGAAUAUGAAAUUUCCUAAAGGUUCUGAAGCCUCCCGAGGAUAAGUACAAACAUUUCCGUACCGAUCCGCAAGACUAUAGUAAUCAGGCUCAUGAUCGCGAGACCAAGUAACCUAGGCUCUGAUACCAACUUUUCACGACUCCAACCCGAUCAUGAUGGCUCCCAACACACUACUAGGAAAGCCCGAUCAUUUCCAACAUUAAAUCCAAUUUAAUAAACAGAGGUAGAUGAAUAAAAAUGUGAAUCACCAAACCAUUUAAUUCAAAAAUUAGGAAAAUACUAAAAAAGUGUGGAAGUUAAGCAAUAAUACUAAACAUAGUCUAACUAGGACCCGGUGUCACAGAAAUGAGCCUCCAAAUACAGAGUGUCAUUCUACUACAAAGUCUACCUAAAAGAUGAAAAUGUGAAAAUAAAGGAUAGAGAUAGAGGGGAGAAAUCAAUGGUUGCGAACGCCGUGCAGCUACUUCGACACUCUCGGGAAGUUAACUCUGCUGAUCAACUCGAUCUACUCAGCUUGGGAAGAACCUGGAUCUGCACGCAAGGUGCAUGGAGUAAAGUGAGUACUUCGACCCAGUGAGUAAUAAACAUAAAUACAGUCUGAAAGUAAGAAAACGCAAAAAACACACAGAGUAACAUAUAUCUAGCAGUUCAUAUCAAUAUCAAUGUAAAUAGUAAAAGAGUAAUACAUUUAAGGAAAUAAUGCAUGAAUAGAUGCCAACACAUAUAAAAAGUGAGGAAAACUAAUGAAGAUCCCUUAUGGAUUCUACAGGUCGGCACAAGGCCCCAAACAUGGAAAUAAGCCCAAUUCACAGUAAUAAGGUAUGUGUCUCAAUCGCCAAUAUAGUGGAAAUAACACUCGGGAUAGACCAAGUCACCAUCCCCAAUAAUAAACGACCCCGCACUCAUCAUAGAAUGCGUGUCACGCCUCAAUAUAACAUUACGAUGUGAAAUUUCGGGGUUGCAAACCCUCAGAGCAGCACUUACAUCUAUUAUUCACCUCUAGCCGGCCAAAGACUAGAUCGCAAUGCCCUUUCCUCUCGAAUCGACCUCCUCGCGCAUCAAAUCUGGCCAAAACUACAAUGAAUACGCUACAAUAUGCUAAGGAAUAUAAAUCAAUCGAAAAGACUCAAAAAAUAUCAAAAAUCAUGAAAUUUUCAAAACCCGAGCCCCCGGCCCAUUUCUCGAAAGUCAAAAAAUUUUACACCAAAAUUAUCGUUAUCUCUCCACGAGUCUAUACAUGUAAAAUUUACUAAAAUCGGAGUCCAAAUGCUCCCUCAAAUCCCAAUUUUACAUUCAAAAACCCAAGCCCUAGAAUUUCCCUUUUUAAUCAAAUUCCAUGAAUUUAGGUGUUGAAAUCACAGUUAGAUGAUGUUUCUAAGCCAUAGUGCUUACCUCCAAUCGAUUCCCAGUCAAAACCCUCUUAAAAUCUCGUCAAAAUCUCCCAAUGUUGCUCAACAAUGGUGGAAAAUAACCCCAAUUCGCAGAUGAUAUGUUUUUAAACAUUCUGCCCCAGGUGACGUUUCCUUCUUCGCGAACGCGAUGGCCCUCUCGCGUUCGUGAUGGCCAAAAAUUCCAUUGGGCCACUUUACUCUUCGCGAAUGUGGAGCCCAUCCCGCAAAUGUGAUGGCUUUCCUGGCAUAACUACGCGAACACGUUCAAUAGACCGCAAACGUGAUGCCUCCACUGCUGCUCCUAUGGAAAUACAAGCCUCUAAUCAAGAACGCGAUAUACAAAGACAAGGACCCCCCCAAACUUUCUCUAUGUGAACGCGGGGUCCCAAUCGCUAACGUGAAGACCAUGGACCUAACAACUACUCGAACGCGACCAAUCCUCGCGAACGUGAAGACCCAAUUGGUCUGCAACUGCUGUGCAAAAAUCUACAACUCCUCAACUUCAAAAAAUUCAUUGUUAGCUAUCCGAAAUCACCCUGAGGCCCCCGGGACCUCAACCAACCUAUCAACCCAUCAUUAAACAACAUAAUAACUUGUUCCAAUCAUAAAAAUACAUCUAACAACAAAAAAAUCACCAAUUAUCAACGGAUUCAAGUCUAAGUUCAACCAAAACUUCCGAAACUCGCAUUCGAUCAAAAACAUGACCUAAACACCUCUGAAAUUACUGAAAUUUUGCACACACAUCCCAAGUAACCUAAUGAAGCUACUAAAACUCUCGGAAUCUCAUUCUAAACCUUGGGUCAAAAUCUUUCCUACCGACCGGAUUUCGACAAAAUUAUAACUUCGCCAAAAUAGGCUAACUUCUACACCAAACCUCCAAAAUCACUUCUGAUUGCACUCCUAAGCAUUAAAUUAUUCCCCGAAACUAAUAAAAUCAUCGAAAAUUACAUUCGAGCCCUCUAACUCACAAGUCAACUUCUAGUUGACCUUUCCAAACUAACAUUUCCUUAAAAAGACUAUAUGUCUCAUUUCCUACCAAACUCCAUCCGAACUAACUAUAACUCCCCAGAUGCAUAUAAUGAAACAUGAAGAAGUAAUAAACAGAGAAAACGGUAUGGAAACACAUAAGAUGACGGGUCGAGUCAUUACAUGUGUAUAUUUUUUUGAAGCCGCGAGGGCUCGAGUGAGUUUUGAAUAGACCGCGGGGUGUAUUGUGGACUUAGAAAAUUGUAGAUUUUUCAACUGUGCAUAGAAGGCCUGAAUGCUUUGCAUUUGCGAAGCCUAGCUUGCAAAUGCAAGUGCCUUGUCGCAAUUAUGAAAGAAUCCCAAGCAAGCUCCCUCUCGCAAAUGCGAGACUAUCUUCGCAAAUGCAAAACUUCCCAAUUUGGCUUGUGAUCGCAAAUGCGAUGCUUGAUUCACAAUUCUCAGCUUGCAAAUGCGAGCCCCCUCCCCCGUUGCAAUUACCAACAUAGCAGAUGUCGUGGUUCGCAAUUGCGAACCCCUAUUCGCAAUUCCCUCAUCUUCCAGCUGCAACUUUAAUACUUAGCCGAAAAUCAACCAUUUUCACAUCUUUUCAAUACACAACCUCCCUAGGGCGAUGUUUCAAGAAUAACUCUUCUUCCAAAUCGAUUGUAAGCCAAUUCUUCAAUCAUUAACAUCUUCUAAUAUGAUUUGAACUCAAAAUCAAUGAUUUUCAUGGAAAAAAUUGGGUGUUUUGUGUAGAGCCUAGAUUUUUCAAAAGUUGGAGAUUUGGACCUCGAUUUGAGGUUCGAUUUUAAAAAAAAUUAUAUAUUCGGUUCAUGGAGAAAUGGGUAAUCAGGUUUUGGUUUGAACCUUGUGUUUUGACCAUGUGGCACCGAGGUGAUUUUUUAAUUUUUGGGUACAACUUUGAAAAACACAUUUUCAUGCAUUCGAAUUGAUUCAUUUAAUGUUUAUUGAUGUAAUUAAGUAAUUUAUGACUAGAUACAAGAAAAUUGGUGAUGUGACGAAGGGGUAAAGCUAUAAUUGAAACGUGAAUUGUGUUCGUGACAUCGAGGUAAGUGUUUGGUCUAACCUUAGCUUGAGGGAUUAUGAGUUGAAUCCUAUUUGCUUUGCGGUAAUUGUUGAGUAUGGCGUAUGUGCAUGGUGACGAGUAUCUAUACGUUGGUGUCUAGCAUGCCCGCGAGUCUUAUAUUUUGAUUAUCAGACUUCAUUGUAUCUUUUAUGCCUUAGUAAUGGUUUCCAUUUUUUGUGUAAAGUUUGUGGAAGGAAUUUUGACCUAUGAACAUUGAGAAGAGUUGGCUCAUGUUGUGUAAUGAAUUGUGAAAGUAUAAGUGAUAAUUGAACCUUAUGAGCAUUGGCUUGAGUAGUGAAGUGAAUUGUGAAUUAAAGUGAGAAAGAGAAGAUAUCAUUAUGUUGCCCCCUUUGCCCGACUAUUGUUGCCUUAUUUGUUAUCUCCCUUGCCGUGAUGUUGAUGUUAUUGAGUUUGUCCCUUGCCGGGACAUGUUGUUGAACUAUUGUUCCUUUGCCGAGAUUAUUAUUGCAAAUUUCAUUUAUUUUCCUUGCCGUAUUGUUUAUGAUUUUUGUUUGGGUGAAGAAGAGAGUUAAAGCACGAAGUGUGAUGCUGCGUAUUAACAUUUGAGAGCAAAGAGCGUAAAGCACGAAGGGUGAUGUCGUGCCGCACGAUGUACCAUUCCGUGCUGAUUAUAUUGAUUAUAUGGUGAGGAAAGAGAGUCAAGUUUAAAGCAAGAAGGGUGAUUCUGUGCCGCACGAUAUACCAUUCUGUGCCGACUAUAUUGAUUAUAUGGUGAGGAAAGAGAAUAGAAGAACGAAGAGUAAUACCGUGCACAUUUUUAUUUCUUGAUUGUUUUGGUGAGGAUGAGAGUAAAAGCACGAAGGGUAAUGCUGUGCAUUUAUUGAUUUUCGAUUCUUUUUUAAUAUUAGGGUUGUAUUGUUUCGUUCUUUUACUUGUUGUUUGGAAUUGAUAUCUCCCCCGCAGCAUGCACCCCCUCCCAUACUUGAUUAUUUAUUUUUGUACUUCUUUUCCGCUAUGUAUAUUCGAAUUGCAUAGGUUUAUUUGGUAGUCUAGUCUUAGCUUCGUCACUACUUCGCAGAGGUUGGGCUAGGCACUUACCAGCACAUGGGUUCGGUUGUGAUGAUACUACACUCUGCAUUAUGUGUAGAUCCUAGAGAAACUUUUGGACCGUAGUUUGGAGGCUACCUUCAGUCCACGGAGAUCCAAGGUACACCUGCAAGUUACCGCAGGCCCUGGUGUCUCCCUCUAUCCCCUAUUUCCUGUUUCAUUUUCCUUACAUUUAGAAAUAGUGUAUCGUUAUUGUAUUUGGACUUUGUAUGUAGUAAACCUUAGACCGUCUCUAACACUGUGAUACCAUGUUUUGGGUGAUUAUAGGCUUAACUAGUUGUAAUAGCUACAAAUUUUGGAUAUUUUAUUUUUUUUCUUCUACUUUAUUCAAAUUUACGCUAUUUAUACGUUAUCGCUUAUUGUUUGUUAAAAGGAAAUAACUUGAUAAUGAAGUAAUUAGUUUAAAUGAUUAGCUUGCCUAGCUCAUAUGUAGGUGUCAUCACGACUCCCGAGGGUGAAAAAUUCGGGUUGUGACAAGUUGGUAUAAUGGGUCUCACAGUUCACAGACAAGCUUAGUAGAAUCUUAGGGAUCGGUAAAGAGACGUCUGUAUUUAUCCCCAGAGGCUACAGAGUUGGGGAAAAAACAUCACAUUUAUUCUUUUUUGUUGUGCAGUUUGGUUUCUAAACGCUGAUUGAAUUUCUACUCUUCCUUUUGCAGAUGGCUAGAACACGUGCUUCCUUAUCUAUUGACCAGUAGCCCGAUCCUUCAGCACCAGCUCCCGCGAGGGGCAGAGGGCGAGGCCGAGGCCAUGCUAAGGGCCAAGGUAGGGGAAAAGCUCAUCCUAGAGCAUUAGCACCCACAUCAGAGCCUCAAGUUGACUUUGAUGAUGAGGUUUUGGUCCCAGCAGUUUCGGUGGGCCCAGCUCGGGUACUAGAGGGGUUUAUUACUACCCUAGUUCUCCAGGAUGCUCUGGUCCAUCUAGUGGGUCUUAUGGAGGGUGUGACCCGAGCAAGUUUGCUCCCUGUAGCACCAGCCGCCUCUCAGGAUGGAGGAGGAGCCCAAACUCUUGCUACUCGCACUCCGGAGCAGGUAGCUCCUAGUUUCAGACUCCAAUGGUUCAUCCAGUUGGAGCAGUUCAACCGGUGAUAAAGCAGUUAUGUCUGUGAUGUUUUGUGGAGGUUGGAUAUGUUCACCAAGCUCUUCACUACUACUUUCUGCGGUGCAUUUUCUGAGGAUCCCCAAGAUUAUCUAGACAGCUGUUAUGAGGUUCUCAAGAACAUGGGGAUAGCUGAGACCAGGAUUUUGCUUGUCUGGAUCUGCCAAGACUUGGUUGAGAGAUUAUUGCUUGGUUAGACAAGUCGGAUCGCUAGCUUUGACUUGGGAGUAGUUUACUAAGCUAUUUCUGGAGACGUUUCUCUCCAUCACUCAGAGAGAGGCCUAUCGGAGGCAGUUUGAGCAUCUCCAGCAAGGUUCUAUGACUGUGACCCAGUAUGAGACUAGAUUCAUCGACUUGGCUUAUCAUGUUCUUAUCAUACUUCCCACCGACAGAAAGAGGGUAAGGAGGUUCAUUGAUGGAUUUAUUCAGCCGAUUCGUCUUCAGAUGGCUAGGGAGACUGGAAUUGAGAUAUCUUUCCAGAAGGCGGCCAAUAGGGCCCGAAGAGUGGAGAUGGUUCUAUCGUAAGGAGGUGGUCAUGGGUAAGACAAGAGGCCCCGUUACUUGAGCAGAUUCAGUGGUACCUCGUGUGGAGGUAGGGAUUCAUUUGGUUGAGGCCAUCCUCCUAGGCCUAUUCAGUCAGCACUCUACGUUUCUCAUGAUGCUUUAGGUGGUUGUGGUCCUCAGAUGCAGUAUUCUUAUCAGCCGUCCUACAGUACACCACCAACCCCUAUCAAUGCACCGCAACUUCAAUGUUUUCGGGGUGGUCAUUUCAGGUCUUUAUGGACAGUAGUCUCAGCAGUCGAGGGCUUGUUAACGAAUGUGGUGAUAUGGGUCAUAUUGCUAGGUUUUCCCCUCGAGCACCGAGUAGCUCUCAAUAUCAAGGUUUCCGUGCCAUGGUUCAGGCACCGAGUGUUCCAUAGCCCGCCCAGCAAGCUAGAGGUGGGGGAAGAAGUGCUAGAGGUGGAGGUAGAGGUAAUAUAGGUGGAGCUCAGGUCGCUAUAUGUGGAGGCCAUCCAGUAGCCAGUCGUCCCAGAGAUGUAAUUUAGGGUGGUGGGGCCCAGCCCGAUGUUAUGCUCUUCCAACUAGGUCCAAGGUCGAGGCUUCUGAUGUAGUUAUCAUGUGUACAGUUCUGGUUUGAGAUAUAUAUGCUUCAAUAUUAUUUGAUCCAGGGACUACAUACUCGUAUGUGUCAUCUUAUACUGUAUCUUGUCAUGCCUAGUGAUUCUUUGAGUGCUCCUAUUUAUGUGUCUACACUAGUAGGUGAUUCUAUUAUUUAUAGAUCGAGUCCAUCGUUCAUGUAUAGUUGUAAUUUGAGGUCUUGAGACUCGUGUAGAUUUACUUCUUCUAGACAUUGUCGAUUUCAAUGUCAUAUUGGGGAUAAAAUGGUAAUAACCUUACCAUGCUAUCUUGGAUUGGCAUGCCAAGACUGUGACCUUAGCCUUGUUGGGUUUACCUUUUCUAGAGUGGAGAGGGACUCCUGGUCAUUCUACCCACAAUGUUACCUGAUAUAUGAAGGCUCGGCAUAUGGCCGAAAAGGGGUGUUUGGCCUAUUUGCUAUAUGUUCGUGAUUCUAGUGCUAAGGUUCCAUCUAUUGAUUCUGUAACCAUUGUUCGUGAAUUUCCUAAGGUUUUCCGUUCAGGCCGGCCGGAUAUGCCACAUGGUAGGGAUAUUGACUUUUGUCUUGAUUUGGGUCCGGGCACUCAGCCCAUUUCUAUCCCGCCAUAUCGUAUGACCCGCUUGAGUUGAAAGAGUUGAAGGAGCAAUUGCAAGACUUUCUUGAGAGGGGUUUCAUUAGGCCGAGUGUUUCGCCUUGAGGUGCGCCAGUGUUGUUUGUUAAGAAAAAUGGAUCAAUGAGGAUUAUGUAUUGAUUACCAGCAGUUGAACAAGGUUACAAUCAAGAAUAAGUAUCCAUUACCAAGGAUUGAUGAUUUUUUUUAUCAACUUCAAGGUGCCAAGGAAUUUUCAAAGAUUGAUUUGAGAUUUGGCUACCAUUAGUUGAGGAUUAGGGCAUCUGAUGUCCCUAAGACAGGUUUUCGCACUUGGUAAGGGCAUUAUGAGUUCUUGGCGAUGUCACUCGGGUUGACAAAUGCCCCAGCAACUUUUAUGAAUUUGAUGAAUCGAGUGUGCAUGCAUUACUUGGAUUCGUUCGUGAUAGUCUUCAUUGAUGAUAUUUUGAUAUAUUCCCGCCGCCGGGAGGAGCAUGAGCAGCAUCUUAGAGUGGUUUUGCAAACCUUGAAGGAUAGUCAGGUAUAUGCUAAAUGCUUGAAGUGUGAGUUCUGGUUGAGUUCGGUUGUAUUACUAGGUCAUGUUGUAUCACUAGAGGGUAUUCAGGUUGAUCCAAGAAGAUUGAGGCAGUUAAGAACUGUCCUAGACCAACAUCAGCUACAGAGAUUCAGAGUUUCUUGAGAUUAGUAGGAUGCUCUCGUUUGUUUGUGGAGGGGUUUUCAUCUAUCAGAACCCCAAUGACCAGGGUGACCCAUAAGGAUGCCCGGUUCAGAUGGUCGGACGAGUGUUAGGCGAGUUUUCAGAGGCUUAAGACAGCUCUGACUACGACACCAGUGUUGGUUUUGCCUACAGGUUCAGGGCCUUAUAUAGUUUAUUGUGAUGCAUCUCGUAUUGGACUUCGUGUAGUGUUGAUGUAGAUGAUAAGGUCAUUGCCUAUGCUUCGCGAUAGUUGAAGAUUCAUGAGAAGAACUAUUCGGUUCAUGAUUUGGAGUUGGCUGCCAUUGUUCAUGCGUUAAAGAUUUUAAGGCAUUAUUUGUAUGCCGUGGCAUGUGAGCUGUUCACAGAUCACAAGAGUCUACAGUAUUUGUUCAAGCAAAAGGAGUUGAAUUUGAGGCAGAUGAGGUGGUUAGAGUUGUUGAAAGACUAUUAUAUCACUAUUUUACAUCAUCUAGGAAAGGCUAAUGUUGUGGCUGAUCCUUGGAUUAGGAAGUUAGCCAGUACGUGCAGUCUUACUUAUAUUCCAUUCGGUGGAGACCGUUUUCUUUAGAUGUUCAGGCUUUGGCCAAUCAGUUCAUGAGGUUGGAUAUUUCUGAGCCCAAUCGUGUGUUAGCUUGCACUGUCGCUCGUUCUUCUUUAUUGGAGUGUAUCCAUGAUCGGAAUUAUCAUGAUGUUUAUUUUAGAGGAGGCCCAGAGCUCCCGAUACUCUAUUCAUCCGGGCGCCGCGAAGAUGUAUUAGGAUUUGUGGCAGCAUUAGAGAAGAAUGAAGAAGGAUACUGUUGCAUAUGUGGCUCGGUGUUUGAAUUGCCAGCAUGUUAAGUACGAGCAUCAGAGGCCCGGUGGAUUAUUUUAGCAAAUUCAGAUUCCUGAGUGGAAGUUGGUGCGUAUUACUAUAGACUUCGUUGUUGGACUACCACAGACUCAGAGGAAGUUCGAUGCAGUGUAGGUUAUUGUUGAUAGGCUAACCAAGAGACUAGCUGAGAUUUAUAUCCGAGAGAUUGUUCGCCUUCAUGAUAUGCUCGUGUCCAUCAUUUCGGACCAAGUUACACAGUUUACCUCACAUUUCUGGAGAGCAUUUCAGCGAAAGUUGGGCACACGGGUUGAGUUGAGCACAUCGUUUCAUCCUCAGACAGACAGGCAGUCCGAGCGGACUAUUCAGAUUUUGGAGGGUAUGCUCCAAGUGUGUGUCAUUGACUUUCGAGGCUCAUGGUAUUAGUUUUUGACUUUAGCAGAUCUUGUGUACAACAACUACCAGUCGAGUAUUCAGAUGGAUCCGUAUGAGGCUUUGCAUAGCAGGCGAUGUCGGUCGCCGGUUAGACGGUUUGAGCCAGGAGAGGCUCGGUUGUUGGGUACAGAUCUAGUUCAGGAUACCUUGGACAAGGUCAGGAUUAUUUAGGAUAGGCUUUGUACAGCUCAGUCCAGGAAAAAGAGUUAAUCGCAUAGAUCGUGAGUUGGAAUUCAUUGUCGCUGACGGGUAUUGCUUCGAGUGUCACCUAUGAAGGGCGCAAUGAGAUUUGGGAAGAAGUCCAAGCUUACCCUAGGUUCAUUGGCCCAUUUGAGAUUCUUAAUACAGUGGGAGAGAUGGCUAAUAGACUUGCAUUGCCGCAAGCUUAGCAGACGUGCAUUAGUGUUUCAUGUAUCCAUGCUUCAAAAAUAUCACGGCGAUCCAUCCCACGUGCUAAGAUUUCAGCACUGUCUAGUUGGACAAAGACUUAUCUUAUGAGGAGAAGUCGGUAGCUAAUCUAGACCGGCAAGUUCGUCAGCUGAAAUCGAAGAGUUCUCCUUUUAUUCGUGAUUAGUGGAGAGGUCAGCCUGCUAAGGAAUUGACCUGGGAGUCCGAGUCCAAUAUGUGGAGCCAUUAUCCUUAUCUUUUCCCCGACUCAGGUACUUCCUUCUUCUGUCAGUUCGAGGAUGAACUGUUUUUUAGAGGUGGAGAAUGUGAUGACUCAAAAGGUUAUCACUUGUUUUUAAAAUGAAUUUUGCCUUCCGAGGCCUUAAAAACCUCUUUUAGCAUCACCUCGAUUUGCUGCGCAGUCUGGACGCAUAGCUAAAAAGCCUAUAUGUGAAAAUCUGUGAAAAUAAUAAAUUUUGAUUAUAAGAUGAAUUAAUUUGAGGGUCAACGUUUUGGAUAAAUAGACCCAAACCCGUAAUUUGACUGUCCCGAGGGUCCAUAGAAAAAUAUGGGACUUGGGCGUAUGCUCGAAAUCAAUUUCCAAGAUCCCAAGUCUUGAGAAAUAAAUUUUCAAAGAAAUUAUUUUCUAAAAAAUAUAAAGGUUUUUGAAAGUGAGAUCGUAUGUGAAACCGGUGAUGCUGGUCGUGUAUUAUGGUUCCGAAGCUUGGAAUAGGAUCAAUAUAAUUUAUAUGUGUUGUUGGUAAAGUUUGGUAAGAAAUGAAAUCCAUUUGACGUGAUUCGAACCAUAAAUGCAAAAUUUGGUGUUUAAAGAAGUUAUGAGAAAUUUCAUUGAUUUUGAGGUUUCAUUCAUUGUUCAUGCUGUUAUUUUGGUGGUUUGAUUAAACGAACAAGCUUGUAAGAUGCUUUUGAGGUUGUGUGUACAUUUGGUUUGGAGCCCCGAGGGCUCGGAUGAGUUUUGGAUAGGCCACGGGGUAUAUUGUGGACUUAGAAAAUUGCAGAUAUUUUAGCUGUGCAUUUACAGGCCUGCAGACUACACAUAAUACAAUAUUGCAAUGCGAGUAGCUUGUCACAAUUGUGAAAUAAGCCUAGGCAAGCUCUUUCUCGCAAAUGCGAGACUAUCUUUGCAAAUGCGAAACUUCCCAAUUUGUCAUGUCAUCGCAAAUGAGAUGCUUAGUUAACAAAUCCUAGCUCGCAAAUGCGAGCCCCCCCCGGGUCAUCNNNNNNNNNNNNNNNNNNNNNNNNNNNNNNNNNNNNNNNNNNNNNNNNNNNNNNNNNNNNNNNNNNNNNNNNNNNNNNNNNNNNNNNNNNNNNNNNNNNNNNNNNNNNNNNNNNNNNNNNNNNNNNNNNNNNNNNNNNNNNNNNNNNNNNNNNNNNNNNNNNNNNNNNNNNNNNNNNNNNNNNNNNNNNNNNNNNNNNNNNNNNNNNNNNNNNNNNNNNNNNNNNNNNNNNNNNNNNNNNNNNNNNNNNNNNNNNNNNNNNNNNNNNNNNNNNNNNNNNNNNNNNNNNNNNNNNNNNNNNNNNNNNNNNNNNNNNNNNNNNNNNNNNNNNNNNNNNNNNNNNNNNNNNNNNNNNNNNNNNNNNNNNNNNNNNNNNNNNNNNNNNNNNNNNNNNNNNNNNNNNNNNNNNNNNNNNNNNNNNNNNNNNNNNNNNNNNNNNNNNNNNNNNNNNNNNNNNNNNNNNNCCCCCAUUCGCAAUACCCAAUAUACUAGAGGUCGAUGUUCGCAAUUGCGAACCCCUGUUUGCAAUUCCCACAUAUGCGACCUGCAACUUUUAUACUUAGCUGAAAAUAAACAAUUUUUCACAUCUUUUCAAAACACAACCUCCCUAGGUCGAUUUUUCAAGAAUAACUCUUCUUUCCAAUCAAUUGUAAGUCAAUUUUAACUCUUUUCCUUCAAUCAUUAACAUCUUUUAGCACGAUUUCAACUUAAAUAAUUUUCAGGGGGAAUUAGGUGUUUUGGGUAGAGCCUAAAUUUUUUUAAAAAUGGUGAUUUGGACCUCGAUUUGAGGUCGGAUUUCAUAAAAAAUUAUAUAUUUGGGUUUGUGGGGGAAUGGAUAAUCAGUUUUUUGUUAAAACCUCGAGUUUUGGCCAUGUGGGUCCGGGGGCAUUUUUUAUUUUUUGGGUAAAACUUUGGAAAAUGCAUUUUUGUGCAUUCGAAUGGAUUCAUUUAGCGUUUAUUGAUGUACUUAAGUAACUUGUGACUAGAUACAAGCAAAUCGGUGGUGGAAUCAAGGGGUAAAGCUAUAAUUGAAACGUGAAUUGUGUUUGUGACAUUGAGGUAAGUGUUUGGUCUAACCUUAGCUUGAGGGAUUAGGAGCCGAAUCCUAUUUGAUAUGUGGUAAUUGUUUAGAACAACGUAUUUGCAUGGUGACAAGUAUCUAUACGUUGGUGUUUAGCAUGCCCGCGAGUCUUAUAUUAUGAUUAUCAUGACUUUGUUGUAUCUUUUAUGCCUUGGUGAUGGUUUCUAUUUAUUGUGUAAAGUUAUAGGAAGUAAUUGUGACCUAUGAACAUUGAGGAGCGUUGACUCAAGUUGUGUAACAAAUUGUAAAAGUAUAAGUGAUAAUUGAACCUUAAAGAGCAUUGGCUCGAGUAGUGAAGUGAAUUGUGAAGUAAAGUGAGAAAGAGAGGAGAUCAUUAUGUUGCCCCUUUGCCGGGCUAUUGUUGCUUUAUUUGAUAUCUCCUUUGCCAGGAUGUUGGUGUUAUUGAUGUUGUCCCUUAACUGGACUAGUUGUUGAACUAUUGUUCCCUUGCCGGGAUUAUUAUUGCAAAUUUCAUUUGUUUUUCUUGCCAUAUUAUUUGUGAUUAUUGUUUUGGUGAGGAAGAGAGUUAAAGCACAAAGGGUGAUGCCGUGUAUGAUUGGUGAGGAAAGAGUGUAAAGCACGAAGGGUGAUGUCGUGCCGCACGAUGUACCAUUUUGUGCCGAUUAUAUUGAUUAUAUUGUGAGGAAAGAGAGUAAAAACACGAAGGGUGAUGCCGUGCACAUUUUCAUUACUUGAUUGUUUUGGUGAGGACGAGAGUAAAAGAACGAAGGGUGAUGUCGUGCAUUAAAUAAUUUUUGAUUCUUUAUUGUUAUCCGAGUUAUAUUGGUUCUUUCAUUUACUUUUUGUCUUUCUAUUUCGAAUUGAUAUCUCCCCUGUGGCAUGCUCCCACUCACAUACUUGACUGUUUAUUCUGUACUUCUUUUUCGCUGUAUAUAUUCGAAUUGCACAAGUUUAUUUGGUAGUUUGGCACUAGCCUCAUCACUACUUCACCGAGGUUAGGCUAGGCACUUACCAGCACAUAGGGUCAGUUGUGGUGAUACUACACUCUGCACUAUAUGCAGAUCCCGGUGCAACUUUUGGACUGUAGUUUGGAUGCUACCUUCAGUCAGCGGAGAUCCAAGGUAGACUUGCAGGCGUCCGCAGGCCCUGGAAUCUCCCUCUAUCCCCUAUUUCCUAUUUUAUUUUCCUUACAUUCAAAUUCAGUGUAUCAUUAUUGUAUUCAGACCUUGUAUGUAGUAAACCUUAGACCAUUCUGUGAUACUAUGACACCAGGUUUUUGGUGAUUAAGGCUUAAGUAGUUGUAAUAGCUGCAAAUUUCAAAUAUUUCAUUAUUUUGUUCCACUCAAUUUAAAUUUACGCUGUUUAUACGUAUCGCUUAUUGUUUGUUAAAAAAUAAUUGGAUAAUGAAGUAAUUAGUUUAAAGGAUUGACUUAACUAGCUCACAUUAGUAUGCGCCAUUACGACUCUUGAGGAUGGAAAAUUCGGGUCAUGACAGCCAAUUCUCGUUCAGCUUCAAGGACCGAGUGUUGUGAAACCUACUCUAAUAGUAUCCCAACCCUUAGACAUACCACUGAAUCUUCCGUCAAACCCUAAUAUUAACCCCUUUGUAUCAAGUGCAGUACAAACCCCAAUCCUAAACAAUUCGAGCUUAAACCUUAACCCUCCCCUGUUUCGUACCCCCACAAAAAACCUUUUAGCUCAGAUUAACCAUAUUGUACCUCUAAACAAACCAAACUCUAUGCAUUCCUUUCCGAAAUUUGGCGCCACAAAUUCUAGAGGCUGGUUGAGAAGGUCUAAUAAAUUCUUUCGUGUUUACUAUGUUUCAGAUUAUAAAAGGAUUGAGUACAUAGCUUUUAAUGCAAAAGGGAAGAUGGACUUGUGGUUCGAAAACUUCUUGCUAAACAAUGAUGGUGUCUUGAAUUGGGAGCCGUUUGCUAUGGAAUUUUGUCGGAGGUUUGGCAAUCUUACGCUCUGGAUGUUAUCGAUGAAUUUAGCAGCCCUAAGAAAAUAAGGAGUGUGGAUGCUAAUCAAGCUAGAUUUCAAGAGUUGAGUACUCAUGUGCGGAUUGUAAAUCCAUUCAUGAAUGAGAUACAUUUUAUUUCUAGCUUCGUGAAAGGUCUUAAACUAGAAAUUAAGCCAUUGAUGAGAGUAGCAAAUCCUUCUUCUCUGAUGGAUACUUAUGAAAUUUUCACGCUUUACGAAGAGUCUUUUAAUGCCCAGAACAAACAGCCUUGAACCAAUUUCUCUAAUCCAAAAUCUAUCUGACACAAACCUCCAUUUAAUCAUACUCGAAAAUACCCAAACCAACCUCCUAAACAGAACAACCAAAAGAGCCCUUCAUAUGAGUUCCUAAAAAAAAGAACAUAUAUUUCUGGUGCCACGAACCAUAUUUCUCACUCCAUCAACCUAAACCCAACUAUAACAGCUUAACAUGUUGGACAUUAUAAAUGGAAAUGAGAUUGUAAAUGGAGAGUAAUUCCAAGAUUUGGAGGAAGAAUUGUAAGUACAAAAUGGGGAAGUGUCUCUUAGUGUGAUGUAUGGUGGUGUUAAAUCCCCUAGUACUAUUAAAAUAGUGUGGACAUUGAAGACGAUUUCGCUUAUUAUCAUCAUUGAUAGUGGAUCUACACGUAGCUUCAUUAAUCCUCAAACAGUAAAAAUGUUGAGGCUACCUGUGAUAUCUUGCAAGAGACUAUAGAACCACUAUGAGAUGUAAAUAACUUUUCCCUGACAUUCAGAGGUGCAUGCAGAAGGAGGAAUUUUUUGUGAUAUGAGGUUGCUGAAGGUUGGUAGUUGCAACUUGGUUUUGGGAAUCGAUUGGGUGGAUAUAUUUGCCCACAUGGUACUAUAUACAAGACCUCACAACAUUUCCUUCUUUAAGGUGGUCAGAGUCAUUACUCUAUUAGGAAAAGAAGAUAAGGUUGUAUUGAUCUCAAUAGAAGGUAGAACCUUGCCCAAACUACUUAAGAACAGGAUAUGUGGCUGUUUUGUUGAACUCUCUCAUAGAAACCAAUUCUAGUAACGGAAAACCUCUUCCCCUAUAAUGACUACACUGUUGAAUGCAUUCUCAGAUGUAUUUGAAGAAUCCAAGUAUCUUCCCUUUAUAAGGAACUCUGAUCAUAGCAUUCCUUUAAAAGAGGUACAAAACCAGUCAACUUGAAACCAUAUAGGUAUGUUUUUAGGCAGAAGAAUGCCUUGGAGAGCAUCAUUGAAGAAACGGUUGUCACAGGUGAUAGAGCCUAAUCAGUCUCCAUUUGCAUCCCCAGCCUUAUUGGUAAAGAAGAGAAACAACACUUGGCGACCAUGCAUUAACUAGAAAACUAAAUUCUUGUAUAGUGAAGAACAAGUUUCCUAUCCCCCAUAGUUGAGGACUCUUAGAUGAACUGCAUGGCACCAAAGUACACUCAAAGAUUGAUUUAAGAGUUGGAUACCACCAAGUGAGGAUGAAAGAGGGAGAAGAAAGCAAUACUGCAUUUAGAACCCACCAUGGCCACUAGCAGUUCAAGGUGAUGCCAUUUGGUCUAACCAAUGCUCCGGCCACAUUUUAAUCUUUGAUGAAGAGAUUUUUGGUCCUUAUCUUAGAAGGUUCAUUCUAUCCUUAUUUGAUGGCAUCUUAGUGUAUAGCAGGACACUUAAAGAAUAUUAAACCUACCUGAGUAGGUAUUACAAUUGUUGAGGCAAAACAAACUAUUUGCCAAGAUGUCUAAAUGUGCCUUUGAAUAACCUCAAAUAGAUUACUUGGGCCAUAUCUAUCAGGUAAAAAGGUUCAGACUGAUCCCUCUAAAAUAGGAACUAUGGAGGAUUAGCCAUUUCCAGUUACUGUGAAGGCUCAUAAGGGAUUUAUUGGGUUGAUUGGAUAUUGUAGAAGGUUCAUGCAACAUUAUGGGCAACCAGUAAAUCGUUAGGCUAGUUAUUAAAAAAAGGAUAGUUUAAGUGGAAUGGCAAAGCAAUUUAACCCUUCAACAGAUUGAAAGAAGUAUGAGUAAGGCUCAAGUUUUGGCUCUUCCCGACUUCACUAAAACAUUUAUAGUAGAAGUGUAUGAUUGUAAUGUGGGUAUCAUGGUAGUUCUUAUGCGAAGACUUCAACCUAUAGCCUUUAUUAGUCAAGCCUUAUGUCCUAAACAUCAAGGUUUAUCCACCUAUGAAAAAGAGCUAAUACCACUACUUUUUGCUAUUGAGAAAUGGAGGCGUCACCUGCAGCCCUCACACUUUAUCAUUAAGACUGAUCAUUUUAGUCUUAAAUAUCUCAAAGAUCAGAAAAUGACUACCCUAACACAACAAAAAGUGUUAUCUAAACUUAUGGGCUUGGACUAUGAGAUUCAGUACAAUAUAGGGGAAGAGAAUGUAGCAGUUGAUGCUUUCUCCAGAUGGAUGGAAUAUCAAGGGCAUUGUACUAACAUUUCUAACAUUUGUGAUGACCCAACCAGUCGUCUCAUGAGUUACUACUCUGUUUCCCAUAUUUAUGCUUUUUUAUGCUUCAUUAUCCAUAUUUUGUGGUAUCAGAUUGGUUGUACCAAAAUAAUUUUCGAUAAAGUUUGAGACACUUAGUCUCUUUUAAGAAGAAUUAAUUUAGAAAAGUAAAUCGGAUAUUGACUUAUGUGUUAGAGGGUUCGGAUAUGAGUUUCAAUGGUUCGGCUAGCUUCGGUAGGUGAUUUAUGACCUAGAAGUGUGAUCCGAAUGGGUUAUGGAGGUCCUGAGUAAAAGUAGGCUUGUAUUGGCAAAGUUGAUAUUUUGGCGAUUUCUGGUUGAUAGGUGAAAUUUUGAUAUAAGGGUCGGAAUAGAAUUCCGAAAGUUGAAGUAGCUUUGUUGUGUCAUUUGGGAUGUGUGUGCCAAAUUUCAAGUCAUUCGUACGUGAUUUGGUUGUUUUUUUAAUCAAAAGCGUGUUUCGAAAGAUUUUAGAAACUUAGGCUUGAAUCCGAUGUCAAUUGGUAGGUUUGAUGUGGUUUGAUGUGGUUUGAGGUGUUUUGAUGAUUGGAAUAAGUUUGAAUAAGGUAUUGGGUCAUGUAUGUGCUAUUGGUUGAAGUCCUGGGGGCCAUAAGUGAUUUCGGAUGAUUAUCGGGAACAUUUUGAACUUGACUGAUUGCAGAAAGUGUGAUGCUUCUGGUGUUUUUGCACUUGAGGGAGAAGGCCGUAGAUGCGAAAUUUGGGUUGGAGAGCAGAUACCGCGGAAGCGGUCAAGUAGCCGCAUCAAUGAAACCGCAUAUGCAGAAGCUCUAUCGCAGAUGUGAUCUAGUGCUUUAAGUGAAGGACCGCAGAAGCGCUUGUUUUUUCACAUAUGCGGUACCGCAGAAGCGGGUUUUGGACUGCAGAUGCAGAAAAGCCUGGGCAAAAGGUAUAUAUUUCAUCCUUCACGAUUUUUGAAGGGUUUAACCAUUUUUAACUUCGGAUUGAGAGCUUUUGGGCGAUUUUGAAGGGAGAUUUCAAGAAAACUUUAUUAAGGUAAAGAUUUUGGACCUAAGACACACUUCUAUGGUGAUAUUUCAUGGAUUAAGAUGGAAAUUAAAGGAAUUAAAGGGUUAAAAAUUGAGGUUUAGGGCUUGAGUUUAAGAGGGUUUUAAAUGAGAAUUUGCGGGGUCAUUUGGACUCUGAUUUAGAUGAUUCUGAUAUGUAUGAACUCGUGGGGGGACGAGAAAUAUACUGAUGUGAAAAUUAUUGAGUUUCGAGAAGUGGGCCCGGGGCUCCAGUUUUGCUAAUCUUGGAAUUUUUGGUAUCUUCGACUGUUUUCGCUUGGACUUUGUUCCCUUAGCAUAUUACAAUCUAUUCUUUCGAUGCGCGUGGAAGGCGAUUCGAGAGGCAAAGGUUCCGCGAGCUAGAGAUCUAGCUGGUUCGAGGUGAGUAAUGAUUGUAAAUGAUGUCAUUGAAACCCCGUAUUUGCACAUCGUAGUGCUAUAUUGAGGUGAUACACGCGCUUGAUGACGAGCAUGGCAUCGUAUGCUACUGGGGAUUUUGACUUAGUCUAUCCUAAUUGAUGAUUUUAUCAUCUAUUUGACUGAAAUUAAUUUGAUAUUAUCAUGAUUUGGGCUGAAUGCCAUAUUUAGGCUUCAUGCCAACUAUUUGAACCCUUCGAGGAUUUUUACCAUUGUUUCCUCACUAUUUUGACUUAUUUCUUGAACUCGGUCCGGAUAAUUUCCACUAUUUACUAUUCAGCCAUCCCUUCUCAGCUUUAAGACUUAAAUGACAUUUUCAAAGGAUGUUUGGGAUCAGAAAACACUAUAUUACUAUCGCCCGAGGGGCUUUUGAUGAUUCUUGGACUUAGUAAGGCCGAUGGCCCAUAUUGUGAGGAACACUAAUACUGUUUUGUGUCCGAGGGGCUAUAUAUAUAUGUAUGUACGAGGUGGCUUGAUUGAUAUGAGGCUGAGGGCCUAGAUUUGAUGCCACGAGAUGGCUUGUUAUUGCGCUUGGGUCGUAAGAGGCAACUCCUGGAGUCUGUACACCCCAGUGAGCAGGGGCACCUAGUUGUGACAUGAGAUCUAGCCCGAGGAGCUAGUAUUGUACUGAGCUAUGGCCUGAGGGGCAGAUUUGUGGAUACUGAACCCGAGGGGCGAACUUCUCUCUGUUUAUUUUACAUGAUUUAUUUGUCAAUUGUUUGUUUUCCCCUAUUGAAAGGAAUUUUUACUUGGUUUUCACUGAUUUACUGCUUUCAAAUGAUGUUUUACUGCUUUAUUAUAGAACGCCUUGUGUUUUAUGUGUUUUUUUACUUUCAGUCAUUAUAUGUAUUUGUUACUCACUGGCUCGGAGUACUCAUAUUACUCCCUGCAUCUUAUGUGCAGAUCCAGGUGCCCCAGAGGCCGAGUGAGAGCUUUCUAAUCGUUUAGUAUUUACCGGGGAUUUCGAGGUAGCUACAUGGCAUCCGCAGCCCUGAUUUCUCUCUUUUAUCUCAUUACUUUUCCACAUUCCUAGACUAUCUAUAUAGUAAGUUGUUCAGGCUCUAGACUCGUGACACUUGAUCAGUGUGAGUUGUGCAGUUUUAAUAUCUUGUUAACUUCUGCAUAUCUAUAUUACUGUUUUAAACAGUUAUUAUGAUAAUUGGUAAUUAAACCGUGUUAGCAAAUUACUUAUUUAUCAUGAAAAUGGGUUGUGGUUUGGUAGUUGGUCUGGAUUGCCUAGUAAUGUGAUAAUAUAUUGUGCAUUGUAAUGCUUCGAGAGUUGGGAUAUGUUGUGUAUUGAUUCAGGUAGGGGUGAACAAAGGAAACCGACAAACCGCACCAACCCGAUAAUCCGAGUCAAAACGAAAAAAAACCCGACUAUGGUUUAGUUUGACUUGGUUUGGUGUUGAAAAAAAAAUCCGACCAUAAUUGGUUUGGUUUGGUUUUAACUAAAGAAAGUCAAACCGAAACCAAACCAACCCGACAACGAAAAAAAACCCGACUAUGGUUUAGUUUGACUUGGUUUGGUGUUGAAAAAAAAAUCCGACCAUAAUUGGUUUGGUUUGGUUUUAACUAAAGAAAGCCAAACCGAAACCAAACUAACCCGACAUUAUAUAUAUAGAAAUUUAAGAUAUAUUUAAUAUAAAUAUACUUAUUGUAAUGUAAUUUAUAAAUAUUUCUUAAAAAAUUUCAUAAUUUUAUCUUUUAAAGUAUUAUUUCAAGGUUUGAUUUAGAAAAUAUUUCUUAAAAAAUUUCAUAAUUUUAUCUUUUAAUGUAUUAUUUCAAGAUUGAACUUAGAGCUUUUGAUUGCUCCAAUAAGUUUUAUAGCCAUUACUAUUAGUAAAUUAAAUAAUGCUAACAACCAAUACCAAUGCUAACAAAAGACAUUCAAUUCAAUAUUACGAACGGGAAAGUAUUGGACAUCUAUUUUUAUUUUGUAAUGAUUUAGAUAAAAAUGGAUAACCUAUUUUAUUUUGCUUUAGCUUUUAGUCAUGUAAGUAAUACUUCUUUAUUAGUCUACUAAUUUUAGCAUGACUUAGUGCUUUUAGAUUAUGUUUAGUUUUACUAAGACUUUUUAAUUUAGCAAUAUUUAUAUUACAUGAUUUUAUUGUCUUUAUUGUUGAAUAUUUUAGGAUAAUGUCAUGACACAUAUCAUAUUUUGUAUUAUUUUCUUGAAAAAUACUUUAUAUAGUUGUAUAUUACUACGACUAAAGAAAUAUUUUGAGCAUACGUUAUAUGUUUUGUUCUACGAAGAUUUUACCGAAAAAAAUCCGAAAAAAUCCGAAUAACCCGAGAAAACCCGAGAAAAAUCGAUAUUGAAAAACCCGAAUUUUAUUGGUUUGGUUUGGUCUUUAGAUUUAAUAACCGACAUAAUUGGUUCGGUUUGGUAAUUGUAAAAUCUGAACCAACCCGGUCUAUGUACACCCCUAAAUGCAGGAGUGUAGAGUUAUUGCUUAUGCUUCUCGUCAGUUGAAGCCCCAUGAAAAGAACUACCACGUUCAUGAUUUGGAGUUGGCUUCCAUAGUUCACGCAUUGAAGAUUUGGAGGCGUUACUUGUAUGGCGUAUCUUGUGAGGUUUUCACUGAUCAUCGCAGUCUUCAGCAUUUGUUCAAGCAAAUGGAUCUUAAUUUGAGGCAGCGGAGAUGGUUGGAGUUACUUAAGCAUUAUGAUAUCACUAUAUUGUACCAUCUGGGAAAGGCCAAUGUGGUGGCCGAUGCUUUGAGCCGAACGGCAGUGAGUAUGGGAGUUUGGCAUAUAUUCCAGUUGAGGAGAGACCUCUUGCAGUGAAUGUUCAGGCCUUGGCCAAUCGGUUUGUUAGGUUAGAUAUUUCGGACCCAGUCUGGUAUGGGCAUGUGUGGUUUCUUGGUCCCCCUUAUGUGAUCGCAUCAGAUAGCGCCAGUAUGAUGAUCCGCAUUUGCUUGUCCGUAGGAUUAAGGCAAGGAUGAUGAUUCCAGGGAUAUGACCAUCGGUGAUGAUGCGGAACUAACAAGUCUGAUCAAUAUAGUCCGUCAUGUUUUCUAUUCCUUCCUACUUGUUCUUCCUCUAUUAUGUGCUGGGGUGCUGAAGAUGUAGGGUUUGAUUUGUGUGCCCAAUGUGGAUGGGCUUCGGGAGCUGAUUCUGGAGGAAGCCCAUAGCUCGCCGUAUUCCAUUCAUCCAGGUGCCGCGAAGAUGUAUCAGAAUUUGAGGCAGCACUAUUGGUGGAAAAGAAUGAAGAAAGAUAUUAUGGGAUUUGUAGCUCGAUGUCUCAAUUGUCAGCAUGUGAAAUAUGAGCAUUAGAGACCGGGUGGCUUGCUUAAGUAGAUGGUUAUUCCUGAGUGGAAGUGGGAGAGGAUCACUAUGGACUUUGUUGAUGGACUUCCACGGACUUUGAAAAAAGUUCGAUUCUAUUUGGGUGAUCGUGGAUCGGCUGACCAAAUCCAUGCACUUCAUUCCUAUGUGUACUACCUAUUCUUCAUAGCAGUUGUCAGGGAUUUAUAUCCGAGAGAUUGUUCAUUUGCAUGGUGUUCCAAUUUCCAUCAUUUCAGGUAGAGGUACUCAGUUUACUUUGCAAUCUUAGAGAGCCGUGCAGAAAGAGUUCGGUACUUAGGUUGAGUUGAACACAACUUUUCGUCCUCAGACGGACGGUUAGUCCAAGCGUUCUAUUCAGAUACUGGAGUACAUGUUGCAUGGUUGUGUAAUUGAUUUCGGAGGAUCAUGGGAUGAGUUUCUAUCGCUUGGAGAGUUUGCUUACAACAACAAUUACCAGUCGAGUAUUCAGAUGGCUCCAUAUGAGGCUUUGUAUGGGAGGCGGUGUAGAUCUUCAGUUGGUUGGUUCGAGCUCGGUGAGGUUAGGCUAUUGGGGGCUGAUUUGGUUCAGGAUGCUUUGGAGAAGGUGAAGGUGAUUAAGGAGAGGCUAUGUACAGCGCAGUCGAGGAAAAAGAGUUAUGCUGAUAGGAAAGUUGGAGAUGUGUCCUGCAUAGUUGGCGAGACGGUUCUGUUGACGUUUUCACCCAUGAAGUGUGUUAUGAGAUUUGGGAAGAAAAUGAAAUUGAGUCCUCAGUUCAUUGGGCCUUUGGAUGUGCUUUAAAGGAUUGGGGAGGUGGCUUAUAAGCUUGCUUUGCUACCCAGCUUGUCGAGUGAGCAUCCAGUCUUUCAUGUUUUUAUGCUCUGGAAGUAUAUUGGGGAUCCAUCUCAUAUUUUGGAUUUAGCACGGUUCAGUUGGAUGAUGAUUUGAUAUAUGAUUUGGAGCCAGAAGCUAUUUUGGGUCAUCAGGUUCAGAAGUUGAGGUCAAAGGAUAUAAUUUCAGUGAAAGUGCAUUGGAGGAGGCUACCAGAAAAACCGAGCUGGAGAUAUAGAGCAGAUAACCUCACCUAUUUUAGGCUUCAGGUAUGUUUCUUGACUCGUUCGAGGAUGAACGUUUGCUUAAAAUGGGGAGAUGUGACUACUCGGCCAGUCGUCUCAUGAGAUAUCGAUCUGUUUCCCCCAUUUCUGUUUCUUUAUGCUUUGUUAUCUGUGUUUUGUGGUAUCGGGUUGGUCGGAUCGAGUCCAAAAUGAUUUCUGAUAAGGUUUGAGAUACUUAGUCUCUUUUAAGAAGGUUUAAGUUGAAAAGUCAACUGGAUGUAAACUUAUGUGUUAGUGGGAUCAGAUAUGACUUCCGAUGGUUUGAUUACCUUCGGUAGAUGACUUAUGACCUAGGAGUACGAUCGGAAUGGGUUAUGGAGGUCCGGAGUAGAAGUAGGCUUGAAUUGGCGAAGUUGAUAUUUUGGUGAUUUCCGGUUGACAUGUGAGAUUUUGAUUAAGCGUCAGAAUAGAAUUGCGAGAGUUGCAAUAGCUUCGUUGUGUCAUUUGGGAUGCGUGUGCAAAACUUUAGGUCAUUCGGACGUGGUUUGGUUGGAUUUUUUAUCAAAAGCGUGUUUCAUAAGAUUUUAGAAACUUAGGCUUGAAUCCGAUGUGAUUUGGUAGAUUUGAUGUGGUAUGAGGUGUUUUAAUGAUUGGAAUAAGUUUGAAUAAGGUAUUGGAUCAUGUUUUUGCUUUUGAUUAAAAUCAGGAGGGCCUCGGGGUGAUUUCGGAUGGUUAUCGGGAAGAUUUUGAACUUGAAUGAUUGGAGAAAGUGCGUUGCUUUUGCUUUUUUCGCACCCGCGGUUUGGGGACCGCAGGUGCGAGGGAGAAGGAUACAGAUGUGAAAUUUGGGCUGGAGAGCUGAUACCGCAGAAGUGGUCAAGUAGCCACAUCUACGAAUCGGCAGAUGCGGAAGUUCUAUCGCAAAUGCGAUCUAGUGCUUUAGUGGAGGGCUGCAGAAGCGGUUCUUUUGCUGCAUAUACGGUACUACAGAAGCGGGUUUUGGAGCGCAGAUGCGGAAAGGCCUGGGCAUCAGAUAUAUAUUUCAUCCUUCACAAUUUUUGAAGGGUUUAGCAAUUUUUAACUUUGGAUUGAGAGCUUUCUGGCGAUUUUGAAGGGAGAUUUCACAGUAACUUAGCUAAGGUAAGGAUUUUUUACCUAAACCACAGUUCUAAGGUGAUAUUUCAUGGAUGAAGACAGAAAUUAAAAGAAUUAAAGGGCUUAAAAGGGAGGUUUAGGGCUUGAGUUUAAGAGAGUUUUAAAUGGGGAUUUGAGGGGUCAUUUGGACUCCGAUUUAGAUGAUUUUGAUAUGUGUGAAUUCGUGGGGAGACGAAGAAUCUAUUGAUGUGAAAAUUUUUGAGUUUUGAGAAGUGGAUCUGGGGCUCGGGUUUUGCUAAUUUCUGAUUUUUGGUAUUUUUCGAUUGUUUUUGCUUUGGCUUUGUUCCUUUAGCAUAUUGUGAUGUAUUCGUUCUGAUUUUGAUAGAUUUGAUGUGUGUGGAGCCCGAUUGGGGAGCCAAAGGCAUCGCGAGCUAGAGAUUUAGCUAGUUCGAGGUGAGUACUGAUUGUAAAUGAUGUCAUGAGGGUUUGAAACCCCAAAUUUGCACAUCGUAGUGCUAUAUUGAGGUGAGACACGCACUUGAUGACGAGCGUGGGGUCGUAUGUUACUAGGGAUUGUGACUUAGUCCAUCCUAAUUGUUGAUUUUACCGCGUAUUUGACUGAAGCUUAUUUGAUAUCAUCAUGACUUGGGUUGAAUGUCAUAUUUGGGCUUUGUGUCAACUAUUUGAAUCCUUCGGGGAUUUUAUCACUAUUUCCUUACUGUUUUGACUUGUUGCUUGAACUCAUUUCUGAUAAUUUCUAGUGAUUUACUAUUCCGCCAUCCCUUCUCAGUUUUAAGACUUAAAUGACAUUUUUAAAUGAUGUUUGGGCAGAAAACACUGUAUUACUGUCGCCCGAGGGGCUUGUGAUGAUUCUUGGACUGAGUAAGGCCGAGGGCAUAUAUUUUGAGGAACAUUGAUACUGCUUUGAGGCCGAGGGCUUAAUAUAUAUAUAUAUAUAUAUAUAUAUAUAUGUCACGCCUCGAGGUGGCUUGAUUGAUAUGAGGCCGAUGGCCUUGAUUUGAUUCCAUGAGAUGGCUUAUUAUUGUGCUUGCGCACUAAGGGGCCCAUCUCAGAGUCUAUACACCCCCAAUAAGCGUGGGUACCCAGUUGUGACAUGAGAUUGAGCCCGAGAGGCUGGUACUAUUCUGAGAUAUGGCCUGAGGGGCAAACUUCUCUAUGUUUACUUUACAUGAUUUAUAUGUCAAUUAUAUGUUUUUACCUAUUGAAAGGAGUGUUUACUUCAUUUUCACUGAUUUACUAUUUUCAAAUGAUGUUUUACUACUUCAUGAUAGAAUGCCUUAUGUUUUACAUAUUUUCUUACUUUCGGUCAUUAUUUAUAUUUUUUACUCGCUUGGUCGGAGAACUCACAUUACUCCCCACACCUUGUGUGCAGAUCCAGGUGCCCCAAAGGCCGAGUGAGACCUUUCCGGCCGUUCAGCAUUUGCCGGGUAUUUCAAGGUAGCUGCAUGGCGUCCGCAGCCCUUAUUUCUCCCUUUUAUCUCAAUAAUUUUCUGCAUUCCUAGACAAUCUAUAGUGGGAUGUUGAGACUUGUGGUAGAGGCUCUAGACUCGUGACACCAGAUCAGUGUGGACUGUGUAGUUUUUAUGUCUUGUUAACUUCAGCCUAUCUAUCUUACUGUUUUAAACACUUAUUAUGAUAAUUGGUAAUUUAACUGUGUUAGCAAAUGAUUUAUUUAUCAUGAAAAUAGGUUGUGGUUUGGUAGUUGGUCUGGCUUUCCUAGUAAUAUGAUAGGCACCAUCAAGAUCGGUAUUUGGGGUCGUGACACCUUGAACCUUCUUGGAUGCAGAAUGUUUUAAAUAGUUAUGAAGGCGACUUAGAAAUGCCAAAACAUUUCACUUGUCUAGCUAAUCCAUCUGGAAUGCAGGAAGGAAUCACCACACAUGAAUGCCUACUGAUUUUUAAAGGAAAUAUCUGGAUUGGGAAACACACUAAUAUGAGGAGUACACUGAUCAAUUUGAUGCAUUCAUCAUCAAUUGGUGGGUGGGGGGGGNNNNNNNNNNNNNNNNNNNNNNNNNNNNNNNNNNNNNNNNNNNNNNNNNNNNNNNNNNNNNNNNNNNNNNNNNNNNNNNNNNNNNNNNNNNNNNNNNNNNNNNNNNNNNNNNNNNNNNNNNNNNNNNNNNNNNNNNNNNNNNNNNNNNNNNNNNNNNNNNNNNNNNNNNNNNNNNNNNNNNNNNNNNNNNNNNNNNNNNNNNNNNNNNNNNNNNNNNNNNNNNNNNNNNNNNNNNNNNNNNNNNNNNNNNNNNNNNNNNNNNNNNNNNNNNNNNNNNNNNNNNNNNNNNNNNNNNNNNNNNNNNNNNNNNNNNNNNNNNNNNNNNNNNNNNNNNNNNNNNNNNNNNNNNNNNNNNNNNNNNNNNNNNNNNNNNNNNNNNNNNNNNNNNNNNNNNNNNNNNNNNNNNNNNNNNNNNNNNNNNNNAAUUCUGGAUACAAGGAACAAUCAGAAGACUGACAUGUGUAUUCCAUUGGCCCAAGUUGACCAAGAGUGAAAGUGUUCCCUAUCCUGGACUACUGCAACCACUGCCAAUUCCACAACAAGCCUGGACUCACAUCUCAAUGGAUUUUAUUGAUUCUUUACCUAAAUCCGAAGGGAAAGGUACUGUAUUGGUAUGAGUGGAUAGCCUCACUAAGUUUGACCAUUUCAACUGUCACGCCCUUUUACUGUGGUUCAAGUGGUGAGAGCUUUUAUUGAUAACAUUUAUAAAUUACAUGGGUUCCUCGUUUCAAUAGUGUCGGAUAGAGAUAAGAUUUUCCUAAGCUUAUUCUCGAAGGAAUUGUUCAAGUCCUUGAAAGUAAAUUUGAUUGCCUAUCACCAUCAAUUGGAUGGGCAAACUGAAAGGUUCAACAGAUGCUUGGAGACUUAUUUGAGGUUCAUGACUAGCCAACAACCGAAAUACUAGAAUCAAUGGCUCUCACUAGCAGAGUACUGGUACAAUACAAAUUAUCACACAGCUCUGAAGAUGACACCUUUUAGGCCUGGUAUGGUUUUCAACCUCCUCAAUUCACCUUCAACUUGGUUAGCCAAACUAAUGUUGAAGCAGUAGAUGUGUUUCUCAGACAGAGAAAGUUAGUAGCUAAGAAGCUACAAGACAACCUUCAUCGAGCUCAAGGAAGAAUGAAACAAUAUGAAGAUAGCCACAGAACGGAGAGGGAGUUUACAAUUGAGGAUUGCAUAUUUUUGAAGCUCCAAUCUUGCAGACAAUCAUCGGUAGCAUUAAGGAAGAGUUUGAAACUUGCUGCAAGAUUCUACCCUAUAAGGUUGUGAAGAAGAUUGGACCAGUGGCUUAUCAACUACAACUUCCUCCUCAACCUAGAAUACACCCAGUGUUUCAUGUAUCCCUGCUCAAAAGGAAGAUAGGCCAACAUGUGAUACGCUCCAUUGACCCCCCUACAGUUGCAACAGAUGACCAGCCUCUUACUGAACUCAUUGCCAUUCUUGAUAGGAAAUUGUUAAGGGCAAUGCUGCUAUAGUUGAAUUACUCAUUCAAUGGGCCAACCUUCUGUUGGAGGAAGCUACUUGGGAAGACAUUGGUUUAUUACAAUUUCCAAAUUUUAAGAUUUAAAGAGAUGAAUUUUACGGGGGAUGUAAUGUUGCAAGGCAACUUAGUAUUCAAUAUUAUUAUCACUAAGUACAGGUUGUUUUUAAGUAAGUAGCAGAAAUACAAGUUUUCAAAUUAAGUGGGUAUGCCACAAGUUUUUAUAUUUGCAAUUAAGUCCUUGUAAUUAGUUAGUGAGUUGGCAACUACACUGAUUUAUAUGUACUCGUACAGAGCAUUUGGGAUUAAGGAAAAAGAUAUUGUUCUCUCCUCUCGUAUUAUUUCUCUCUCUGUCUUCCUUUCCUCUCUCUGUUAGAGUUGUGGCCGAUACCACAACACAAUCUUUAUUCAAUUCAAGAGUUACACCGAUAGCGAAAUUGGACUCCAAACCAUUUAAACAAAACUGAUAAGAACUAAGCUCAGAGAAGAAAAUCAAUAACCCAAAAUGUUCAGAUUCAAUGAAACCAAAUGGUAAAGGAAGAAAAUGAAGGGGGAAUAAACAACUCUCACUUAGAGCUAGCAAGGUGCAUUUCCAAAGAAAGAACAACAUUACCUCAAGCAAAAUAACUUUUCAUCCUUGUCUAAAGACUUACCAUACGGAAAUUGUAAUCAGAUAAUAGUAUGUAGAAAAAAAGGACAAAAAAGGAUUUUGAUGCUUCAACUUUCUUUAGAACAUAUUAAUUUUGUUGUAUUUAGUUUGUACCAAAAGAGAACACUGACAAAACCCAUCACAGAAUUUUGGUCAGUAAUUUUCUCGUAAACGUCAUUAGAGAAAUAAUCAGAAAAGACAUCAAAUAACAAUUGACCCAAAUCACACAUUGGAGUAUCAAUUCUAGACAUUCAUGUGAAGAUCAGAUAAAAAUACUGACAUAUAUGUAAGAAUCUAGCCAAAUUUUAGCCACAAAUAAGCACAAGAAAAAAAGAUUACUUGGAGAAAAAACUUACCACAACGGAGAGAUAAACUUGAGAGAAAUUAAAUGAAAUAAACCACCUUUGCAAGAUCUUAAUCUACAAAUUGAAAAACUUUGGACAGAAUCCAGUAUUUCCAAAUCUAGCGAUGGAAACAUGGAUAUAGGACAAAAGAAGUAAAUUUGAGAGAGAACAUUGAAACAGGUGAAAAAGUGGGUACUUGGAGUGAGAGACACGUGUUUGGUUUUCAGUUCUAAAAGACACGCUUUGAAUUCAGCCAUAAAGAUAUUUAUAU
RNAcentral lists this long non-coding RNA (28208 nucleotides) under Nicotiana benthamiana. RNAcentral describes it as "long non-coding RNA (NBEN_LNC022600)". The record is from RNAcentral. Lineage: Eukaryota; Viridiplantae; Streptophyta; Magnoliopsida; Solanales; Solanaceae.